RNAcentral lists this ribosomal RNA (449 nucleotides) under uncultured bacterium. RNAcentral's name for it is "partial 16S ribosomal RNA". It matches the Rfam family "Bacterial small subunit ribosomal RNA", at positions 29 to 523 of the family's 1533-position model. The record is from RNAcentral.
AACGAACGCUGGCGGCAGGCCUAACACAUGCAAGUCGAACGGGAUCUUCGAAUCUAGUGGCGGACGGGUGAGUAACGCGUGGGAACGUGCCCUUUGGUUCGGAAUAGCCCCGGGAAACUGGGGGUAAUACCGGAUAAGCUCUUCGGAGGAAAGAUUUAUCGCCAAAGGAUCGGCCCGCGUUGGAUUAGGUAGUUGGUAGGGUAACGGCCUACCAAGCCGACGAUCCAUAGCUGGUUUGAGAGGAUGAUCAGCCACACUGGGACUGAGCCACGGCCCAGACUCCUACGGGAGGCAGCAGUGGGGAAUCUUAGACAAUGGGGGCAACCCUGAUCUAGCCAUGCCGCGUGAUCGAUGAAGGCCUUAGGGUUGUAAAGAUCUUUCAGCUGGGAAGAUAAUGACUGUACCAGCAGAAGAAGCCCCGGCUAACUCCGUGCCAGCCGCCGCGGUAA